Molecule: ribosomal RNA, 429 nt
Filed under: Acidobacteriota bacterium
Lineage: Bacteria; Pseudomonadati; Acidobacteriota
Description: Acidobacteria bacterium partial 16S ribosomal RNA
Rfam family: Bacterial small subunit ribosomal RNA
Source: RNAcentral
UGGGGAAUUUUGGACAAUGGGGGAAACCCUGAUCCAGCCAUCCCGCGUGUGCGAUGAAGGCCUUCGGGUUGUAAAGCACUUUUGGCAGGAAAGAAACGUCAUGGGUUAAUACCCCGUGAAACUGACGGUACCUGCAGAAUAAGCACCGGCUAACUACGUGCCAGCAGCCGCGGUAAUACGUAGGGUGCAAGCGUUAAUCGGAAUUACUGGGCGUAAAGCGUGCGCAGGCGGUUCGGAAAGAAAGAUGUGAAAUCCCAGAGCUCAACUUUGGAACUGCAUUUUUAACUACCGGGCUAGAGGGUGUCAGGGGGGGGUGGAAUUCCGCGUGUAGCAGUGAAAUGCGUAGAUAUGCGGAGGAACACCGAUGGCGAAGGCAGCCUCCUGGGAUAACACUGACGCUCAUGCACGAAAGCGUGGGGAGCAAACAGG